This 268-nucleotide ribosomal RNA is filed under the name uncultured bacterium. RNAcentral describes it as "partial 16S ribosomal RNA". It matches the Rfam family "Bacterial small subunit ribosomal RNA", at positions 524 to 796 of the family's 1533-position model. The record is from RNAcentral.
UACGAGGGGUCCAAGCGUUGUUCGGAAUUACUGGGCGUAAAGCGGGUGUAGGUGGACUGAUCAGUCGGAUGUGAAAGCCCUGGGCUCAACCCAGGAAGUGCAUCCGAUACUGUCAGUCUUGAGUACUGGAGAGGGAAGUGGAAUUCCAGGUGUAGCGGUGAAAUGCGUAGAUAUCUGGAGGAACAUCAGUGGCGAAGGCGACUCUGGACAAUACUGACGCUGAGGUGCGAAAGCGUGGGGAGCAACAGGAUUAGAUACCCCGUAGUCC